This 253-nucleotide ribosomal RNA is filed under the name uncultured bacterium. RNAcentral's name for it is "partial 16S ribosomal RNA". It matches the Rfam family "Bacterial small subunit ribosomal RNA", at positions 524 to 776 of the family's 1533-position model. The record is from RNAcentral.
UACGGGGGGGGCAAGCGUUGUUCGGAAUUACUGGGCGUAAAGGGCUCGUAGGUGGCCAACUAAGUCAGACGUGAAACCCCUCGGCUUAACCGGGGAACUGCGUCUGAUACUGGAUGGCUUGAGUUUGGGAGAGGGAUGCGGAAUUCCAGGUGUAGCGGUGAAAUGCGUAGAUAUCUGGAGGGACACCGGUGGCGAAGGCGGCAUCCUGGACCAAUACUGACACUGAGGAGCGAAAGCCAGGGGAGCAAACGGG